This 74-nucleotide transfer RNA is filed under the name Planktothrix agardhii. RNAcentral's name for it is "tRNA-His". It matches the Rfam family "tRNA". From Rfam's summary of the family: Transfer RNA (tRNA) molecules are approximately 80 nucleotides in length. Their secondary structure includes four short double-helical elements and three loops (D, anti-codon, and T loops). Further hydrogen bonds mediate the characteristic L-shaped molecular structure. tRNAs have two regions of fundamental functional importance: the anti-codon, which is responsible for specific mRNA codon recognition, and the 3' end, to which the tRNAs corresponding amino acid is attached (by aminoacyl-tRNA synthetases). tRNAs cope with the degeneracy of the genetic code in two manners: having more than one tRNA (with a specific anti-codon) for a particular amino acid; and 'wobble' base-pairing, i.e. permitting non-standard base-pairing at the 3rd anti-codon position. RNAcentral also lists the same sequence under 4 other names. The record is from RNAcentral. Lineage: Bacteria; Bacillati; Cyanobacteriota; Cyanophyceae; Oscillatoriales; Microcoleaceae.
GCGAGCGUAGCCAAGUGGUUAAGGCAGAGGAUUGUGAUUCCUCCACUCGUGGGUUCAAGUCCCAUCGUUCGCCC